GACGAACGCUGGCGGCGUGCUUAACACAUGCAAGUCGAACGGAAAGGCCCUGCUUUUGUGGGGUGCUCGAGUGGCGAACGGGUGAGUAACACGUGAGUAACCUGCCCUUGACUUUGGGAUAACUUCAGGAAACUGGGGCUAAUACCGGAUAGGAGCUCCUGCUGCAUGGUGGGGGUUGGAAAGUUUCGGCGGUUGGGGAUGGACUCGCGGCUUAUCAGCUUGUUGGUGGGGUAGUGGCUUACCAAGGCUUUGACGGGUAGCCGGCCUGAGAGGGUGACCGGGCACCAUGGGAACUGGGUACGGCCCAGGAUUCUACCGGAGGGAACCGGGGGGAAUAUUGCACAAAGGGCGGGAGGCCUGAUGCGGAACCGCGGGGGGGGGAAUACGGGCUUUGGGGUGUAAACCCCCUUUGCCUGUGACCGAGCGUGAGGGAAGGGAAUUGGUAAAGAAGGCACGGCUUACUAAGGG
RNAcentral lists this ribosomal RNA (468 nucleotides) under uncultured bacterium. Its description in RNAcentral is "partial 16S ribosomal RNA". It matches the Rfam family "Bacterial small subunit ribosomal RNA", at positions 28 to 507 of the family's 1533-position model. The record is from RNAcentral.